AGUGAACGCUGGCGGCAGGCCUAACACAUGCAAGUCGAACGGCAGCACAGUAAGAGCUUGCUCUUACGGGUGGCGAGUGGCGGACGGGUGAGGAAUACAUCGGAAUCUACUUUUUCGUGGGGGAUAACGUAGGGAAACUUACGCUAAUAGCUCAUACGUCCUACGGGUGAAAGCAGGGGAUCUUCGGACCUUGCGCGAUUGAAUGAGCCGAAGUCGCGUUAGCUAGUUGGCGGGGUAAAGGCACACCAAGGCGACGAUCCGUAGCUGGUCUGAGAGGAUGAUCAGCCACACUGGAACUGAGACACGGUCCAGACUCCUACGGGAGGCAGCAGUGGGGAAUAUUGGACAAUGGGCGCAAGCCUGAUCCAGCCAUACCGCGUGGGUGAUGAAGGUCUUCGGGUUGUAAAGCCCUUUUGUUGGGAAAGAAAAGCAGCAGGUUAAUACCCGGCUGUUUUGACGGUACCCAAAGAAUAAGCACCGGCUAACUUCGUG
Molecule: ribosomal RNA, 492 nt
Filed under: uncultured bacterium
Lineage: Bacteria
Description: partial 16S ribosomal RNA
Rfam family: Bacterial small subunit ribosomal RNA
Source: RNAcentral